RNAcentral lists this ribosomal RNA (429 nucleotides) under Actinomycetes bacterium. Its description in RNAcentral is "Actinobacteria bacterium partial 16S ribosomal RNA". It matches the Rfam family "Bacterial small subunit ribosomal RNA", at positions 355 to 776 of the family's 1533-position model. Lineage: Bacteria; Bacillati; Actinomycetota; Actinomycetes. The record is from RNAcentral.
UAGGGAAUCUUCCGCAAUGGGCGAAAGCCUGACGGAGCAACGCCGCGUGAGUGAUGAAGGUCUUCGGAUCGUAAAACUCUGUUAUUAGGGAAGAACAAAUGUGUAAGUAACUAUGCACGUCUUGACGGUACCUAAUCAGAAAGCCACGGCUAACUACGUGCCAGCAGCCGCGGUAAUACGUAGGUGGCAAGCGUUAUCCGGAAUUAUUGGGCGUAAAGCGCGCGUAGGCGGUUUUUUAAGUCUGAUGUGAAAGCCCACGGCUCAACCGUGGAGGGGCAUUGGAAACUGGAAAACUUGAGUGCAGAAGAGGAAAGUGGAAUUCCAUGUGUAGCGGUGAAAUGCGCAGAGAUAUGGAGGAACUCCAGUGGCGAAGGCGACUUUCUGGUCUGUAACUGACGCUGAUGUGCGAAAGCGUGGGGAUCAAACAGG